RNAcentral lists this small RNA (574 nucleotides) under Pan troglodytes (chimpanzee). RNAcentral describes it as "processed transcript". Lineage: Eukaryota; Metazoa; Chordata; Mammalia; Primates; Hominidae. The record is from RNAcentral.
AGUCAGCCGCUCCAGGUGCCUAAGUCUGGGCUGCGGAGGCCAGGGCGGUGGCGUGCAGGGUGAGGUCUCCGGGGCUGGCGCGCGUGCAAGCCCCCUGCUGCUACCUCGCGCUAGGCCAGCUCCAGGAGGGCAACAGACGACAGGACAUUGCAAAAGGGCCACUUAAAUUUUCCUUCGAGUCAACAGAACACCUGCCAAGACCCUCGAGCCUGGGCGUGCCCCAAGACAGGUGGUUGGGGUCUAGGAGUCGGCUGCAGCUGGCGAUGCUCUGAGGGGACGUCAGGGCCUCAGGAUGGCCCCUAUGAAGACGAAGUGCAUCUGUGAACUGUGCUCCUGCGGGCGGCAUCACUGUCCACAUCUCCCUACCAAGAUUUAUGAUAAAACAGAGAAACCAUGUCUUCUCUCCGAAUAUACCGAGAACUACCCUUUCUAUCACUCCUACCUGCCCAGAGAGUCCUUCAAGCCAAGGCGGGAGUACCAGAAAGGGUCUAUACCAAUGGAAGGCCUGACUACAUCAAGCCCUCGGUAAUUCUCUGGUGUAGAAUCUGCCUUUACUUCAGAUAGACCUGAGAUC